AGGAAUAUUGGUCAAUGGACGCAAGUCUGAACCAGCCAUGCCGCGUGCAGGAUGACUGCCCUAUGGGUUGUAAACUGCUUUUAUACGGGAAGAAACCCCUCUACGUGUAGAGGGCUGACGGUACCGUAAGAAUAAGGAUCGGCUACCUCCGUGCCAGCAGCCGCGGUAAUACGGAGGAUCCAAGCGUUAUCCGGAUUUAUUGGGUUUAAAGGGUGCGUAGGCGGAUUAUUAAGUCAGUGGUGAAAGCCUGCAGCUUAACUGCAGAAUUGCCAUUGAUACUGGUAAUCUUGAGCACAUUUGAGGCGGGCGGAAUGUGUCAUGUAGCGGUGAAAUGCUUAGAUAUGACACAGAACACCGAUUGCGAAGGCAGCUCGCUAAACUGUAACUGACGCUGAGGCACGAAAGCGUGGGUAGCAAA
This 418-nucleotide ribosomal RNA is filed under the name uncultured bacterium. Its description in RNAcentral is "bacterial SSU rRNA". It matches the Rfam family "Bacterial small subunit ribosomal RNA", at positions 357 to 772 of the family's 1533-position model. The record is from RNAcentral.